GACUCUCGGCAACGGAUAUCUCGGCUCUCGCAUCGGUGAAGAACGUAGCGAAAUGCGAUACCUGGUGUGAAUUGCAGAAUCCCACAAACCAUCGAGUCUUUGAACGCAAGUUGCGCCCGAGGCCACUCGGCCGAGGGCACGCCUGCCUGGGCGUCA
RNAcentral lists this ribosomal RNA (156 nucleotides) under Triticum dicoccoides. Its description in RNAcentral is "rRNA 5_8S_rRNA". It matches the Rfam family "5.8S ribosomal RNA". Rfam says of the family: 5.8S ribosomal RNA (5.8S rRNA) is a component of the large subunit of the eukaryotic ribosome. It is transcribed by RNA polymerase I as part of the 45S precursor that also contains 18S and 28S rRNA. Lineage: Eukaryota; Viridiplantae; Streptophyta; Magnoliopsida; Poales; Poaceae. The record is from RNAcentral.